GCCGCCUUGGUUCGAUCGGGAUACUCAUCAAAUAACAUUGAAAACCGGGCAGUCUUCUCUUGUCAAUGGCGGGCCAUUAACCAAGCGUUCUAAUAAAUGCCGAUGGAUUACAAAGACAGAGAGCACCCAAAACCUGUGAUAAAGGAGUUUUCAUCACAUCACCCUGGCGGUC
Molecule: small RNA, 172 nt
Filed under: uncultured Prevotella sp.
Lineage: Bacteria; Pseudomonadati; Bacteroidota; Bacteroidia; Bacteroidales; Prevotellaceae
Description: Bacteroidales-1 6S-Bacteroidales RNA suggested
Rfam family: Bacteroidales-1 6S-Bacteroidales RNA suggested
Source: RNAcentral